AAACCAGCACCUCAAGUGGUCAGGAUGAUUAUUGGGCCUAAAGCAUCCGUAGCCUGCUCUGUAAGUUUUCGGUUAAAUCUGUACGCUUAACGUACAGGCUGCCGGGAAUACUGCAGAGCUAGGGAGUGGGAGAGGUAGACGGUACUCGGGAGGAAGUGGUAAAAUGCUUUGAUCUCUCGAUGACCACCUGUGGCGAAGGCGGUCUACCAGAACACGUCCGACGGUGAGGGAUGAAAGCUGGGGGAGCAAACCGGAUUAGAUACCCGAGUAGUCC
Molecule: ribosomal RNA, 274 nt
Filed under: uncultured bacterium
Lineage: Bacteria
Description: partial 16S ribosomal RNA
Rfam family: Archaeal small subunit ribosomal RNA
Source: RNAcentral